UGAUGAGCCGUGUGCUGUUUGGACUGUGUCACCGGGUCGAGUAAUUAAUAUGUCUGAUUACACUCACUAAACGACAUCGGAUUACUUGAUUAGGGUGGGACACAUUGGUGGGCUAGAUUCGUAUUUAAAAUCAUCUUUUUUUUUUUUACUUACUUGAUAGUCUUAUAUAUGUGAGUGAGUGAGACUGUGGUGACUUGGGUCCAUUCAAAUAAUGCCUUGAUACGUGUAAAAAACUCGUAUUACUACCUCACACCUAAUACGUUAAGUUAAGCCCUCAUCGACCAAACGACAAAUAAAAACUU
This 302-nucleotide long non-coding RNA is filed under the name Capsella rubella. RNAcentral describes it as "long non-coding RNA (CRUB_LNC004707)". The record is from RNAcentral. Lineage: Eukaryota; Viridiplantae; Streptophyta; Magnoliopsida; Brassicales; Brassicaceae.